RNAcentral lists this ribosomal RNA (468 nucleotides) under uncultured bacterium. Its description in RNAcentral is "bacterial SSU rRNA". It matches the Rfam family "Bacterial small subunit ribosomal RNA", at positions 48 to 518 of the family's 1533-position model. The record is from RNAcentral.
UUAACACAUGCAAGUCGAACGAAGCAAUAAGCGGAAGUUUCGGAUGGAAGCUAAUUGACUUAGUGGCGGACGGGUGAGUAACCCGUGGGUAACCUGCCUUAUACUGGGGGAUAACAGUUGGAAACGACUGCUAAUACCGCAUAAUAAAGAAUAUCGCAUGAUUUUCUUUUGAAAAUAUUUAUAGGUAUAAGAUGGACCCGCGUCUGAUUAGCUAGUUGGUGAGGUAACUGCUCACCAAGGCGACGAUCAGUAGCCGGCUUGAGAGAGUGACCGGCCACAUUGGGACUGAGACACGGCCCAAACUCCUACGGGAGGCAGCAGUGGGGAAUAUUGCACAAUGGGGGAAACCCUGAUUGCAGCGACGCCGCGUGAGUGAAGAAGUAUUUCGGUAUGUAAAGCUCUAUCAGCAGGGAAGAUAAUGACGGUACCUGACUAAGAAGCCCCGGCUAACUACGUGCCAGCCGCCGC